Molecule: ribosomal RNA, 484 nt
Filed under: uncultured bacterium
Lineage: Bacteria
Description: bacterial SSU rRNA
Rfam family: Bacterial small subunit ribosomal RNA
Source: RNAcentral
UGAACGCUAGCGGCAGGCCUAACACAUGCAAGUCGAGGGGGCAGCAUGAAAGUAGCUUGCUACUUUUGAUGGCGACCGGCGCACGGGUGCGUAACAGGUGUGCAAUCUGUACCAUAAUCGGGGAAUAGCCAGCGAAAGUUGGAUUAAUGCUCCAUGUGAGUUUAGAGGCAUCUCUUUAAUUUGAAACGUAAGGAUUAUGGGUGAGCACGCUUCUGAUUAGGUAGUUGGUGAGGUAACGGCUCACCAAGCCGACGAUCAGUAGGGGUUCUGAGAGGAAGGUCCCCCACAUUGGAACUGAGACACGGUCCAAACUCCUACGGGAGGCAGCAGUGAGGAAUAUUGGUCAAUGGUCUGACGACUGAACCAGCCAUGCCGCGUGAAGGUCACGGCCCUAUGGGUCUUAAACUUCUUUUGUAAGGGAGCAAUAAGCCUCACGUGUGGGGUGAUGAGAGUAUCUUACGAAUAAGCAUCGGCUAACUCCGUG